Small nucleolar RNA from Haemorhous mexicanus (house finch), 67 nucleotides. The record is from RefSeq and is a predicted model, not a curated record. NCBI's taxonomy places the organism in Eukaryota, Metazoa, Chordata, Aves, Passeriformes, Fringillidae.
CCUGCCGAGGAUGAAGCGAUACCGCCCCAGACUGAGCCCUGUGAUUGAUCGGUCCCUCUGAGGCUCU